AAUGAACGCUAGCGGCAGGCUUAACACAUGCAAGUCGAGGGGUAGAGGCUUUCGGGCCUUGAGACCGGCGCACGGGUGCGUAACGCGUAUGCAAUCUGCCUUGUACAAAGGGAUAGCCCAGAGAAAUUUGGAUUAAUACCUUAUAGUAUUAUGAUGUGGCAUCACAUUAUUAUUAAAGAUUUAUCGGUACAAGAUGAGCAUGCGUCCCAUUAGCUAGUUGGUGUGGUAACGGCAUACCAAGGCAAUGAUGGGUAGGGGUCCUGAGAGGGAGAUCCCCCACACUGGUACUGAGACACGGACCAGACUCCUACGGGAGGCAGCAGUGAGGAAUAUUGGACAAUGGGCGCAAGCCUGAUCCAGCCAUGCCGCGUGCAGGAUGAAGCAUCUAUGGUGUGUAAACUGCUUUUAUACGGGAAGAAACCCUGGCUCGUGAGCCAGAUUGACGGUACCGUAGGAAUAAGGAUCGGCUAACUCCGUGCCAGCAGCCGCAGUAAGAC
This 497-nucleotide ribosomal RNA is filed under the name uncultured bacterium. RNAcentral describes it as "bacterial SSU rRNA". It matches the Rfam family "Bacterial small subunit ribosomal RNA", at positions 29 to 526 of the family's 1533-position model. The record is from RNAcentral.